Oncorhynchus tshawytscha (Chinook salmon) is the source of this 475-nucleotide long non-coding RNA. RefSeq lists it as uncharacterized. The transcript is spliced from 2 exons. The record is from RefSeq and is a predicted model, not a curated record. Lineage: Eukaryota; Metazoa; Chordata; Actinopteri; Salmoniformes; Salmonidae.
UUAGAAUCGUCCCAGUGAACCAAGCACCAAACCAGCGAUGUCCAGUAGAAUGUGUUCAGAACGUCCAGCUCCCUGUCCUGGAGAUGUCUGUGGCAGACUGUGGCUCUCGGUCCCUAAGCAUGCUGGGAGAACUGGUCCAGGAAGUGCAGGUGGAACGAGCCGAGGCAUGCCAGGACCUUCUCUAGUGUGGCAGAGGGGGUCAGCACGCACAGUCUGGGAGGGAUGACGCACAAACAAACAUUUUAAUGUACUAAUCUCACACACCACAAAAAUCUGAGAGGGCAAAUCGUAGGCCCCCAUGUCCAUAACUUUUUUUGCGUUUUUCAAACAAUCAUUAAGCUGAAUUAUAUGUAAAAAAUUUAAAUAAUACUUUUAUUUUUCUGUAUAUAUAAGCAUAGCUCUUGUGCUCUCUGUAUUGUGGUGAAUUGUUUUGUUUUUUAAGAAACUAAACAUAAAAUCUAGGUAAAGAAUGAAA